Molecule: ribosomal RNA, 484 nt
Filed under: uncultured bacterium
Lineage: Bacteria
Description: partial 16S ribosomal RNA
Rfam family: Bacterial small subunit ribosomal RNA
Source: RNAcentral
AUUGAACGCUGGCGGCAGGCCUAACACAUGCAAGUCGAGCGGAUGAAGGGAGCUUGCUCCUGGAUUCAGCGGCGGACGGGUGAGUAAUGCCUAGGAAUCUGCCUGGUAGUGGGGGAUAACGUCCGGAAACGGGCGCUAAUACCGCAUACGUCCUGAGGGAGAAAGUGGGGGAUCUUCGGACCUCACGCUAUCAGAUGAGCCUAGGUCGGAUUAGCUAGUUGGUGGGGUAAAGGCCUACCAAGGCGACGAUCCGUAACUGGUCUGAGAGGAUGAUCAGUCACACUGGAACUGAGGCACGGUCCAGACUCCUACGGGAGGCAGCAGUGGGGAAUAUUGGACAAUGGGCGAAAGCCUGAUCCAGCUAUGCCGCGUGUGUGAAGAAGGUCUUCGGAUUGUAAAGCACUUUAAGUUGGGAGGAAGGGCAGUAAGUUAAUACCUUGCUGUUUUGACGUUACCAACAGAAUAAGCACCGGCUAACUUCGUG